CAGCAGCCGCGGUAAUACGAAGGGGGCUAGCGUUGCUCGGAAUGACUGGGCGUAAAGGGCGCGUAGGCGGCGAUCAAAGUCAGGCGUGAAAUUCCUGGGCUCAACCUGGGGGCUGCGCUUGAUACUUGGUUGCUUGAGUGGGGAAGAGGGUCGUGGAAUUCCCAGUGUAGAGGUGAAAUUCGUAGAUAUUGGGAAGAACACCGGUGGCGAAGGCGGCGACCUGGUCCUUGACUGACGCUGAGGCGCGAAAGCGUGGGGAGCAAACAGGAUUAGAUACCCGCGUAGUCCCUGUCUCUUAUAC
Molecule: ribosomal RNA, 301 nt
Filed under: uncultured bacterium
Lineage: Bacteria
Description: partial 16S ribosomal RNA
Rfam family: Bacterial small subunit ribosomal RNA
Source: RNAcentral